This 255-nucleotide ribosomal RNA is filed under the name uncultured bacterium. RNAcentral describes it as "partial 16S ribosomal RNA". It matches the Rfam family "Bacterial small subunit ribosomal RNA", at positions 524 to 776 of the family's 1533-position model. The record is from RNAcentral.
UACGUAGGGUCCGAGCGUUGUCCGGAAUUACUGGGCGUAAAGAGCUCGUAGGUGGUUUGUCGCGUUGUUCGUGAAAAACUCACAGCUCAACUGUGGGCGUGCGGGCGAUACGGGCAGACUUGAGUACUGCAGGGGAGACUGGAAUUCCUGGUGUAGCGGUGGAAUGCGCAGAUAUCAGGAGGAACACCGGUGGCGAAGGCGGGUCUCUGGGCAGUAACUGACGCUGAGGAGCGAAAGCGUGGGGGAGCGAACAGG